RNAcentral lists this small RNA (28 nucleotides) under Bombyx mori (domestic silkworm). Its description in RNAcentral is "ovarian small RNA-27369". Lineage: Eukaryota; Metazoa; Arthropoda; Insecta; Lepidoptera; Bombycidae. The record is from RNAcentral.
UCCCUACCUAUGCUGAUUGCCGUGAGAG